AAUGCCGCGUGAACGAGGAAGGUCUUCGGAUCGUAAAGUUCUGUUGAAGGGAAAAAGAGCGGAGAGAGGAAAUGGUCUCCGAUUGAUAUUACCCUUCGAGGAAGUCACGGCUAACUACGUGCC
Molecule: ribosomal RNA, 123 nt
Filed under: uncultured bacterium
Lineage: Bacteria
Description: partial 16S ribosomal RNA
Rfam family: Bacterial small subunit ribosomal RNA
Source: RNAcentral